RNAcentral lists this ribosomal RNA (468 nucleotides) under uncultured bacterium. RNAcentral describes it as "partial 16S ribosomal RNA". It matches the Rfam family "Bacterial small subunit ribosomal RNA", at positions 28 to 507 of the family's 1533-position model. The record is from RNAcentral.
GACGAACGCUGGCUGCGUGCUUAACACAUGCAAGUCGAACGGAAAGGCCCUGCUUUUGUGGGGUGCUCGAUUGCCGAACGGGUGAGUAACACGUCAGUAACCUGCCCUUGACUUUGGGAUAACUUCAGGUAACUGGGGCUAAUACCGGAUAGGAGCUCCUGCUGCAUGGUGGGGGUUGGAAAGUUUCGGCGGUUGGGGCUGGACUCGCGGCUUAUCAGCUUGUUGGUGGGGUAGUGGCUUACCAAGGCUUUGACGGGUAGCCGGCCUGAGAGGGUGACCGGCCACAUUGGGACUGAGAUACGGCCCAGGCUCCUACGGUAGGCAGCAGUGGGGAAUAUUGCACAAUGGGCGGAAGCCUGAUGCAGCAACGCCGCGUGCGGGAUGACGGCCUUCGGGUUGUAAACCGCUUUCGCCUGUGACGAAGCGUGAGUGACGGUAAUGGGUAAAGAAGCACCGGCUAACUACGUG